GUCGAUAAGCAUGGAUUCAAGAAUAUUUUAAAAUAUUUUUUUUUAUGCUUGUAAAAGUAUACUUAAUCAAUUAUGAAAUUUAUCUGCAGCUUAUUAUUUGAAUCCGAGAUUCCAGUACACCAUUUCUGGGAUAGAUAUGGAUAACGAGCUUCUUGCUACUCUUCGUAACGUGAUAUAUAAGAUGGUGUCCGAUCCAGAUAUCACAUCGUUGUAUCUGCAAGAGGAAUACUAAUUUAAAACAAAUAUAAUUAUUCAACUGAAUUUGAUCUGUACUCAACGAUAUAUUUAUAAAUUUAAUAAAUAUUUUUUUACAGACGAAACAGUUUAGAGAGAGAUCAGACAGUUUUGGAGUCCCAUCAACUGUCGUAAGCAAAAACCAGAUGAAUCCAGAUAAAUUACAUAUCAAUAAUGAGCAGCAUAGAUUGAUAUGUAAUUUUGCUUAAUAAUAUCAUAAAAUUUGAUAUGUAAUUUUGCUUUUACAGCUGAAUGGUGGAUUCAUUUUGGAAUAUCCAC
Molecule: long non-coding RNA, 513 nt
Filed under: Elaeis guineensis (African oil palm)
Lineage: Eukaryota; Viridiplantae; Streptophyta; Magnoliopsida; Arecales; Arecaceae
Description: long non-coding RNA (EGUI_LNC079866)
Source: RNAcentral